AUUGAACGCUGGCGGCAGGCCUAACACAUGCAAGUCGAGCGGAUGAAGGGAGCUUGCUCCUGGAUUCAGCGGCGGACGGGUGAGUAAUGCCUAGGAAUCUGCCUGGUAGUGGGGGAUAACGUCCGGAAACGGGCGCUAAUACCGCAUACGUCCUGAGGGAGAAAGUGGGGGAUCUUCGGACCUCACGCUAUCAGAUGAGCCUAGGUCGGAUUAGCUAGUUGGUGGGGUAAAGGCCUACCAAGGCGACGAUCCGUAACUGGUCUGAGAGGAUGAUCAGUCACCCUGGGACUGGGACACGGUCCAGACUCCUACGGGAGGCAGCAGUGGGGAAUAUUGGACAAUGGGCGAAAGCCUGAUCCCGCCAUGCCGCGUGUGUGAAGAAGGGCUUCGGAUUGUAAAGCACUUUAAGUUGGGAGGAAGGGCAGUAAGUUAAUACCUUGCUGUUUUUACGUUACCCACAGAAUAAGCACCCGCUAACUUCGUGC
This 485-nucleotide ribosomal RNA is filed under the name uncultured bacterium. Its description in RNAcentral is "partial 16S ribosomal RNA". It matches the Rfam family "Bacterial small subunit ribosomal RNA", at positions 30 to 508 of the family's 1533-position model. The record is from RNAcentral.